UACGUAGGUGGCAAGCGUUACUCGGAAUCACUAGGCGUAAAGCGCAGGUAGGAGGUUUGGUAAGUCUGUUGUGAAAGCUCCCGGCUCAACUGGGAGAGGUCAACGGAAACUACUAGGCUAGAGUGUGGUAGAGGAAGAUGGAAUUCCCGGUGUAGCGGUGAAAUGCGUAGAUAUCGGGAGGAAUACCUAUGGCGAAAGCAGUCUUCUGGACCAUCACUGACUCUGAUCUGCGAAAGCUAGGGGAGCAAACAGG
RNAcentral lists this ribosomal RNA (253 nucleotides) under uncultured bacterium. Its description in RNAcentral is "partial 16S ribosomal RNA". It matches the Rfam family "Bacterial small subunit ribosomal RNA", at positions 524 to 776 of the family's 1533-position model. The record is from RNAcentral.